RNAcentral lists this ribosomal RNA (16 nucleotides) under Caulerpa sertularioides. Its description in RNAcentral is "partial 18S ribosomal RNA". RNAcentral also lists the same sequence under 1 other name. The record is from RNAcentral. Lineage: Eukaryota; Viridiplantae; Chlorophyta; Ulvophyceae; Bryopsidales; Caulerpaceae.
UGCGAAAGGAUCAUUA